Molecule: unclassified non-coding RNA, 307 nt
Filed under: plant metagenome
Description: partial contains 5.8S ribosomal RNA, internal transcribed spacer 2, and large subunit ribosomal RNA
Rfam family: 5.8S ribosomal RNA (bases 1-105)
Source: RNAcentral
GAAAUGCGAUAAGUAAUGUGAAUUGCAGAAUUCAGUGAAUCAUCGAAUCUUUGAACGCACAUUGCGCCCGCCAGCACUCUGGCGGGCAUGCCUGUUCGAGCGUCAUUUCAACCCUCAGAACCCCUUGCGGGAUCUGGCGUUGGGGAUUGGGAUCCAGCCAGCCCCGAAAUCUAGUGGCGGUCCCUCCGCGACCUCCCCUGUGCAGUAGCGAUACCUCGCAGCGGGACAGCGGUCUGACCACGCCGUAAAACCCCCAACUUCUCAAGGUUGACCUCGAAUCAGGUAGGAAUACCCGCUGAACUUAAGC